UACGAGAGGCCCAACCGUUAUUCGGAAUUACUGGGCUUAAAGAGUUCGUAGGCGGCAUGAAAAGUAGGGUGUGAAAGCCCUCGGCUCAACCGAGGAAUUGCGCUCUAAACUGUCGUGCUCGAGGAACCUAGAGGUGAGCAGAACUGAUGGUGGAGCGGUGAAAUGCGUUGAUAUCAGGAGGAACACCGGUGGCGAAGGCGGUUCUCUGGGCAUGUCCUGACGCUGAGGAGCGAAAGUGUGGGGAGCGAACAGG
RNAcentral lists this ribosomal RNA (253 nucleotides) under uncultured bacterium. RNAcentral's name for it is "partial 16S ribosomal RNA". It matches the Rfam family "Bacterial small subunit ribosomal RNA", at positions 524 to 776 of the family's 1533-position model. The record is from RNAcentral.